RNAcentral lists this long non-coding RNA (2593 nucleotides) under Homo sapiens (human). RNAcentral describes it as "PREDICTED lncRNA (TCONS_00070671)". Lineage: Eukaryota; Metazoa; Chordata; Mammalia; Primates; Hominidae. The record is from RNAcentral.
UUUAGGGUAAAAAAACCCAGUACUAAGCUGGACCAGGGAUUACUGUUUGGCUCAUGGUACCCCCAAAAAGAAGCUGGAAUCCAAUGGCGAGCUCUCCAUCAGCUGCAAGGCUGAUCAGUCCCACACACUCAGGGUCCCUUAGCCACAGCCUGGCUAAGACAGAAGUGCUGACCUGAAGGGGAAACCUGGUAAUAGGAGGCAAGCCUUUCUGAACCUCCAAGAAGGGAAUGAAUUCCUUCUGACAGGAGCUAAUCUUUAGCCACUCCAGAGGCCCACAAGGGGAAUCUCAAAGUCCAGAGGUUCCUUAUUUACACAGCUAUUACACGCAGUAUGUCUCUUUGGGACAUGUGGAUUAUGAUGACUAUUUUUAAAAGUGGGGCUAUCCCAAAGAAAAGAUGGAUUAUUUGAAGAAUUUUUAAAAUUGUUGUCAUAAUGCUUUCAUUCUAAUAUCAGCUCACUGUAGUAUCCCUGUGAGCUAUAGUUGGUUUAGGCCACAUUUUACUGUUGUAGACACUGAGAUACAAAUAUCUAAAUAAAAAACAAGAAAUAACUUUGGUAAUAAGGACGAGGAGCAGUCCUCAUUAGAGGUUUUAGCCCCAGAAUUUCCAGGCUCUGGGCACCUCAUCCACUGCUAUCUCCCACUCCCUCCCACCCACCAUCAUGCCAGCCCCACAGUACAGAGGGUUUCUAGAGAGAAGGCAAACAAACAUCCCCCCCUUUUCUCUUCUUCGUUGUCAAGAAAUGAACAAAGUAAAGUGGGGAGGGGGCAUCAUAUCACGUGAUCAUUGGAGAGGGGAAGGCAGGGCUGGAGGCUUUGGCACAGGACAGGGCAGAUGGGUCUCAGCUGUGCCUGGCUGUAACCCCACACUGCUCUCUCCCACUCGUUCACUGAGGGUUCCCACACUUCUUAGAGAAACAGUAUUCCGGAGCAAGGUCUGAGUCAGUAGAAUCAAACCCACUUUCAGUUCUGAGCUAGGGAAAAGCAACCCUGAGUAGAAAGUGAGGAAGGGUGCCUCAACUGGGAGCCCUCAGAAUGGAGCCUGAGAAAGAGGAGGGAGGGUAGGUGUGAAAGGAGGGCAGGGGAUAGCAGCCCCCAUCCCCCGAGGCCCCAGUCAGUGUCUCUGUGCAAAUUAAGAACAAGGACCCCUUUGUGGGCUAUGGGGUCGACAGCCCCCAGACAUGGCUUAUCAUAGAGGAAAAUGGCAACCUCUGUGUGGACUGAGGUCAGUCCUCACCCUGAACCCCUUGGCCAGGUGCCUCCAUGUAGAGAAAACUGCACAAACAUAUAUGUGGUCCCAGGAAGGAAGGAUCCCAACCCUUUUCAUGCUUCUGUGCAUUUCCCAGUCCCCUCUCCCUUUCCCCAGCAGCCUUGGAUUUCCUGCUGUGAGCCUCAGCCACCAGGCUCUGGGGGAGGGUGAGUCUGUCUCUCCCUGCCUGCCUUCAUCUGCAGCAUGGGGGCUCUAGCAGGAAGGCCAGGAACUCUCAGGGGAGACCUCAUGCAGAUACUGCUUCCUAAGGAACCCCAUUAACUUCCGGGGUCCAGGGUGUUUUCUCCCAGUGACCACUGACAUCUCCAUGAGGCAAGAUAGAGCCUCUCAAAGACAGUGAUGGGGGAGGGGCAUGGAAACACUGUUAUGUUCACUGAUACUCUUUUCACAUGGGUCUAUUCCCUCAGAUUAUCUCCCAUGGGACACACACGACUUUUUUGGGGGGGUUACUUAGGGAGGAGCAGCAGCGAGGGCACUUCAGUGAUUCUAGUGUGCAGUCAGCAUUAAGAACUAUGUCUAAGACCAAAGCAAUGCAGAAGAAAGGGCCCUGCAGGGUCUUUCUUGUGCCCCACUCCACCCUAGCACAAAAAGACCCAGAAGGUGACAGAAACAAGAAAGGAUAGUGUCCAGGAGAGCUCUUCCUCAAAUGAGCCUCCUCUCCUCCACUUCGUUCUCAAGACAGUGCAUUUCCUCGUUCUAGGUAAUGAGUACAUGAAACACGUUAAAUGUCCUUCAGCCUCCCUACCACGACAUCCAACAGCUGGAACUUCCAUCCAGUCCUUCACAUGAUGGGCACCUGUGGGAAACCUGCCAGGGGCAGCCGAUGUUCAGAGGCAUCCAAAAAAAGUCUCCCACUUCGGCAGCCAUGAAGCCCACUCAUGCAACCGUCCUCACUUUUCCUUCCUCUCACGGUUUUUUGCAGAAGCAAGUGCUCAGGGAAAUGAAGACAGGAGAACUGCUGCCGUCAUGAGCUAUGCCGACAGUCAGCAGCUGAUCCCCGACAGAAACGCAGCAGAUGCAGACGCUCCUGAUGAAAUCAUCCCUGUGGGGAGUGCAGGGCCAGAUGGGGACUCCAUGGAGACAGCCGACCGGCGACAGCCUUCAGCUCCGACAAAGACACAUCACCUUGCAAAUGACACUUUGCCGUCUGGUUUCUGUGUUUUGUUGUAACAGGUUAAAUGAACCCCUGGGCUUAAUUUUCCCCCUACUUAGUUCUGUGGCAGCAAAGAAAAGUGACUUCUUUUCAUUUCUCAGCUCAAAACUUCUUAAGCCGUGUCUCUUCCUCAUCAUCCCUUUGAGAAUAAAAGUCUAGAAAUGAAACACAA